This 209-nucleotide long non-coding RNA is filed under the name Glycine max (soybean). RNAcentral describes it as "long non-coding RNA (GMAX_LNC002766)". The record is from RNAcentral. Lineage: Eukaryota; Viridiplantae; Streptophyta; Magnoliopsida; Fabales; Fabaceae.
UCCAUCAUGUGUAAUGAGCAUCCACUACUCAGGUACUAGCUUAAACCCUGGCCUUUUCUUACCAAGGAUAUCUACAAUAGGAACAAUUUAAGAUUUUGGUAACCAUAUCUUUUUGGCCCCAUAAGCAUUAGUACCCUUAGACAUUUGUUAAAUCUUAUGGAUACAUUUGAACUUGGAGUGUCUAGACUCACCACAGAAGCCAUAUUUGU